CUUAGCAGGCACUUCAAAUAACUGGUUAUGCAAAACAUGUCAACGGCGAAUGCCUUGUCGUGCUGAAUAACGUGUUUGCUUGAUUUUAGCUUAAUCCAUUUCAUAUGUUUUCCUUCUACGAUUGUUGAUCUUCCAAAGUGUUUCAUACCAAAUUUACAAACUGGAGUUCAUCUUAGUUUUUGUUUCAGUCAGCAAACGUUUUGAAGAAUAAUCAUGAUUGGAUAGGGGAUAGUGGUAGAGUCCCAUUACCACUGCUGCCUGAUCCUACAACAAAUUUUCAAUGGGAUGAGGUUAAACCACUUUCAGGAAAACCAUACUGUCAUUGUGUUCUUUCACCUACAAAUCUUCAUCCCCGUUAUUACAUGAUGCCGGUGAUGAACUUACGGUCAAAACUUCCUUCUAUUGAGGUCCCUACCAUUCUCAUCUAUGGGGGCAAGAGCUGGGACAGGUGUAUUAUGGACAAAGCAAACACAAGACUUUUGGUGUCGCAGGCUGGAAAAAGUUUGUUGCCGACAACGAUUUCAGGGUUGGAGAUGCUUGCAUUUUUUAGCUCAUGGAAAGCAGUGACAAGAAAGUCAUCUUGGAAGUUCAAAUUCUUAGAGAAUGAUCAUAGGUCAAGAGAAUGAAAGGAUCAUAGGUCACAGUCGGGAAAAUCCAGUUGUCCUUAACUAGUAUUCUAACCAUCUAAUGCAUUUCAUUUUCCUUUUCAUUCUGAAAUGGUUCAGGGUUAUUGGAUAACUUUUGUAUAAUUGGAUAACUUUUGUAUGUUAGUGCAUGGAUGUUGUGAUUGUUGUCCCCUGCCACAACUUGUUAGGAAUAGUAAAUUUAUGUGCUAUGUUCUAUGUAUAAAUACCACUUGAAUUUUAUUAUUGUCAUCAGUACU
Glycine soja is the source of this 883-nucleotide long non-coding RNA. RefSeq lists it as uncharacterized. The record is from RefSeq and is a predicted model, not a curated record. NCBI's taxonomy places the organism in Eukaryota, Viridiplantae, Streptophyta, Magnoliopsida, Fabales, Fabaceae. The transcript is spliced from 3 exons.